GAUCAUGGCUCAGGACGAACGCUGGCGGCGCGCCUAACACAUGCAAGUCGAACGGAGUUUACAGGUGGAAGUUUUCGGAUGGAAGCUUGUAAACUUAGUGGCGGACGGGUGAGUAACACGUGAGCAACCUGCCUAUCAGAGGGGGAUAACGAUUGGAAACGAUCGCUAAUACCGCAUGACAUAGCGGAACCGCAUGGUUCUGUUAUCAAAGAUUUUAUCGCUGAUAGAUGGGCUCGCG
Molecule: ribosomal RNA, 238 nt
Filed under: uncultured bacterium
Lineage: Bacteria
Description: partial 16S ribosomal RNA
Rfam family: Bacterial small subunit ribosomal RNA
Source: RNAcentral